GUAGGUGGCAAGCGUUGUCCGGAAUUAUUGGGCGUAAAGCGCGCGCAGGCGGUUCUUUAAGUCUGACGUGAAAGCCCACGGCUCAACCGUGGAGGGUCAUUGGAAACUGGAGAACUUGAGUACAGAAGAGGAAAGCGGAAUUCCACGUGUAGCGGUGAAAUGCGUAGAGAUGUGGAGGAACACCAGUGGCGAAGGCGGCUUUCUGGUCUGUAACUGACGCUGAGGCGCGAAAGCGUGGGGAGCAAACAGGGAUUAGAUACCCUGGUAGUCCACGCCGUAAACGAUGAGUGCUAAGUGUUAGGGGGUUUCCGCCCCCUUAGUGCUGCAGCUAACGCAUUAAGCACUCCGCCUGGGGAGUACGGCCGCAAGGCUG
RNAcentral lists this ribosomal RNA (373 nucleotides) under uncultured organism. Its description in RNAcentral is "partial 16S ribosomal RNA". It matches the Rfam family "Bacterial small subunit ribosomal RNA", at positions 527 to 896 of the family's 1533-position model. The record is from RNAcentral.